ACGGAGGGAGCAAGCGUUACUCGGAAUUACUGGGCGUAAAGCGCGUGUAGGCGGCUUCGUAAGUUGGAUGUGGAAUCCCACGGCUCAACCGUGGACGUGCAUCCAAAACUACGUCGCUGGAGUCUCGGAGAGGAAGGUGGAAUGCUUGGUGUAGAGGUGAAAUUCGUAGAUAUCAAGCAGAACACCUGCGACGAAGGCGGCCUUCUGGACGAUGACUGACGCUGAGACGCGAAAGCGUGGGGAGCAAACAGGA
This 253-nucleotide ribosomal RNA is filed under the name uncultured prokaryote. RNAcentral's name for it is "partial 16S ribosomal RNA". It matches the Rfam family "Bacterial small subunit ribosomal RNA", at positions 525 to 777 of the family's 1533-position model. The record is from RNAcentral.